This 301-nucleotide ribosomal RNA is filed under the name uncultured bacterium. RNAcentral describes it as "partial 16S ribosomal RNA". It matches the Rfam family "Bacterial small subunit ribosomal RNA", at positions 509 to 807 of the family's 1533-position model. The record is from RNAcentral.
CAGUCGCCACGGUAAUACGUAGGGUGCGAGCGUUAAUCGGAAUUACUGGGCGUAAAGCGUGCGCAGGCGGUCGUGUAAGACAGGUGUGAAAUCCCCGGGCUUAACCUGGGAACUGCGCUUGUGACUGCACAGCUAGAGUAUGGCAGAGGGGGGUGGAAUUCCACGUGUAGCAGUGAAAUGCGUAGAGAUGUGGAGGAACACCGAUGGCGAAGGCAGCCCCCUGGGCCAAUACUGACGCUCAUGCACGAAAGCGUGGGGAGCAAACAGGAUUAGAUACCCCCGUAGUCCCUGUCUCUUAUAC